Rattus norvegicus (Norway rat) is the source of this 1494-nucleotide non-coding RNA. NCBI's taxonomy places the organism in Eukaryota, Metazoa, Chordata, Mammalia, Rodentia, Muridae. The record is from RefSeq and is a predicted model, not a curated record.
CCUUGUGGUUUCUGUAAGGCAGUGGUGACCCUGACUAAAACAGUUUAGGUCAGUACAGCCUUUAUUGUUACCUCAGACUUGUGGUUAUAGAAUCCAUGUUCUUAACCACAUAGAAUUCUGGGAUAAAAUUAACCACUGUGUAUAAAACUUUCAACUCAAAGAUAAGGAAUAUGGAAAGAGGCAGACAGCACAAAAUGGCAAAAAGCAGGAAUUAGCAGACCUGGACUGUCCACAGGAAAGCUGGGUCUUGAUUCCCCUGGGCAACAGAAAGAAGCCUGAAGCAAGGAGGAAUCAGAGAGGACCUAGGAAGCUCUUUCAGGAGCUUUGUAAGCUGACAGGAUUCUUGUGUGUAGGUUCAGCUGCCCUUCCUUCACAUUCCUUUCCAUUUUCCUGAACCCAUACCACUCUGCCCUGGAAGGAUUUCAGUGGUAAUCAUUCUCUCUGAGAGUGCAUGAACUCACUGGGCUGCUUCCAAGGGCACCACAAGAAGAAUUUACAAUUUAUCAGACACUGCUUUUUUCCUCUCUAAGAAUAAAGAAAGAAAGAACAGAACAAUGCAAUAUAGGUUAAGUGAAAGUUCUUAAGAGGUAAUAAUAGGUUCUAUGUGAAGUAUUUUCCUUAAAUUGCCUUUUACAGAGUAGCAGGUGUCCCCCACACUUCCCAGGGGCUCCUUAGAACAUUUCUUUCUUUUCAUUCUCCAGUUGGAGUUGAGGGAGGGAUGGGAAGCCUCUGUCUCUACCUUCAUUGUCCCUUCAGGGAGCCCAGCAGGAGGUUCUGCUCUCCAGAGUCAGCAGAAAUGGCAUGCAUCAGCAACACUGAGCCAGGAGAUGGAGACACUAAUUCAGUGUGCUAGCUAGCUGGUGGCCUUAGGAUGUGGCUUAUGCUCUACAGUGGCUCCUGUUGUGCUGAGACAGAGCAGAAACAGAUGCCGAUUAAGGUGCAAAGGAGGACUGCCUGCAAGCCAGAACUUCUGAAGCUGCAGCCCUAAGAAAGCAGUGCAACACAGAUACCUACAGUGUCCAAACAUAAGAAAUAGUCUGACAAGACUUCCUAAAAGCUGACUGGAAGCCAGUCUUCUCCUAUCUGCCCUCGGAAGAUGGUGAACUCUCAGUUUCUCCAGCCCCACAUCUGUGUAGAUGCUGCCCUGCCCCCGCCCUGAAGAUAACGGACUGAACCUCUGAACCUAUAAGAGGCUACAGAAAUAAACAGAAGUUGAUACUCAAGAAUAUUGGAGGUUCCUUCUAGCAGACAACAGCAGCCAAAAUGCAGAAUAUGCCUGCCAGAAAGCAAGUGACACUGAGUCUACCAACCCAGCUGCCCAUUGGUGAACAAGAGGAAUCCAUAGAGCAGAUUGAAUUUCAGCAAGCAGAAGCACAGUUUGGUCACAGAACUUCACAAAUAUGCCAAAAUGACUAUGGACCAGACCAGAGGUUCCUAAGGAAUGAGUAUUGUGUGAAUGUGAUUAUAUGUCCUCAUCAACUGGGCAAAUAAAGA